AGAAUCAACACUGGCGGCGUGCCUAACACAUGCAAGUCGCACGAGAAAGGGGAGCAAUCCCUGAGUACAGUGGCGCACGGGUGAGUAACACGUGAAUCAUCUACCUCCGAGUGGGGAAUAACUGAGAGAAAUCUUAGCUAAUACCGCAUAAUACCCACGGGUCAAAGCAGCAAUGCGCUUGGAGAGGAGUUCGCGGCAGAUUAGUUAGUUGGCGGGGUAAUGGCCCACCAAGACGAUGAUCUGUAU
This 246-nucleotide ribosomal RNA is filed under the name uncultured bacterium. RNAcentral's name for it is "partial small subunit ribosomal RNA". It matches the Rfam family "Bacterial small subunit ribosomal RNA", at positions 26 to 286 of the family's 1533-position model. The record is from RNAcentral.